This 574-nucleotide ribosomal RNA is filed under the name uncultured bacterium. RNAcentral describes it as "bacterial SSU rRNA". It matches the Rfam family "Bacterial small subunit ribosomal RNA", at positions 340 to 916 of the family's 1533-position model. The record is from RNAcentral.
UACGGGAGGCAGCAGUGAGGAAUAUUGGUCAAUGGACGCAAGUCUGAACCAGCCACGUCGCGUGAAGGAAGACGCCUACGGGUUGUAAACUUCUUUUGUACAGGAAUAAAGUGCCUUACGUGUAAGGUUUUGCAUGUACUGUACGAAUAAGGAUCGGCUAACUCCGUGCCAGCAGCCGCGGUAAUACGGAGGAUCCGAGCGUUAUCCGGAUUUAUUGGGUUUAAAGGGUGCUCAGGCGGGGGAUUAAGUCGGCGGUGAAAUUUUGCAGCUCAACUGUAAAAGUGCCUUCGAAACUGGUCACCUUGAGUGUGGAUGAGGUAGGCGGAAUUUGUGGUGUAGCGGUGAAAUGCAUAGAUAUCACGAGGAACUCCGAUUGCGCAGGCAGCUUACUAAACCAUAACUGACGCUCAAGCACGAAGGCGUGGGGAUCAAACAGGAUUAGAUACCCUGGUAGUCCACGCAGUAAACGAUGAUUACUGGCUGUUUGCGAUAUAGUGUAAGCGGCUGAGCGAAAGCGUUAAGUAAUCCACCUGGGGAGUACGUUCGCAAGAAUGAAACUCAAAGGAAUUGACGG